Molecule: microRNA precursor, 74 nt
Filed under: Myotis davidii
Lineage: Eukaryota; Metazoa; Chordata; Mammalia; Chiroptera; Vespertilionidae
Description: mir-9193 microRNA precursor family
Rfam family: mir-9193 microRNA precursor family
Source: Rfam by way of RNAcentral
CAUGGGGGGUGGGCGUCCCUCAGCCUGGAUUGUGAGAGGGUGCAGGCCAGGCUGAGGGACCCCAUCGGUGCACC